This 759-nucleotide long non-coding RNA is filed under the name Anas platyrhynchos (mallard). Its description in RNAcentral is "lncRNA (ENSAPLG00020009592.1)". The record is from RNAcentral. Lineage: Eukaryota; Metazoa; Chordata; Aves; Anseriformes; Anatidae.
AAUGUCCCAAGCCCUACACACCCUCCAGUUGUAAUCAAUGCUGCAGAUGAUGAUGAAGAUGAUGAUGGGGAGGAACCUGUGGUUCGACUAGAUCUUGCUGAUAGACAAGGAAAACGGAAAGCCUCCGCAGAUGAUGUAAGCACCGUUCCAGUGAAGCGCAGCCUUGCUGAAAGGCUGGGGAAGAAGGUAGAGGCUCCGGGAAAUGCUGACAAAGCACCCAAGAGAGAUCCAGGUACUGAACGGGCAUCUGGAUUGGAUUCCUGGGUUUUGUAUUUAGUCUUUCUGUUUGUCCUUUUCCAGUGAUGUUUCUUUUUGCAUGUUGGCUGAGGUCGUAAUCACUGGGAUUCAAAGUUACCUUUCCUGUCUUGUUUUGAACUGUGAACCUGAAGUUGACAUUCUGCAGCCUCCCUAAUUCGUUCUGUUUCUGUUUUGCAGUUCAAGUUGCCAAGUCUCUGAAGGACAGGCUGGGAUUACCUCCUAAACAGACCAGCACUGAGAGAGGUAACAGCUAGAUAUUAAAUAUGCUUUCUCCUCCUUCCUUUCCAUGAACUUGGACUGCUUUCAUCCAUCCCUAAAAACUAAUGUAAACGAAAACAAAGAACUGAUGCCUCUUGCUCGAGUGCUGAAGCUCUUCUGACAGCCACUAUCAGAAAUCUGGCUCUAGGUGUGUGUUUCUUUUCUACUUGUGCCUUGUCAAGGUUUUUAGCUGCUUCUGUGAACCGUUACGUACCAUUAGAAUAGAACCACUGCCAGGAGCAG